RNAcentral lists this ribosomal RNA (209 nucleotides) under uncultured bacterium. Its description in RNAcentral is "partial 16S ribosomal RNA". It matches the Rfam family "Bacterial small subunit ribosomal RNA", at positions 568 to 776 of the family's 1533-position model. The record is from RNAcentral.
UGCGUAGGUGGUUUCUUAAGUCAGAGGUGAAAGGCUACGGCUCAACCGUAGUAAGCCUUUGAAACUGGGAAACUUGAGUGCAGGAGAGGAGAGUGGAAUUCCUAGUGUAGCGGUGAAAUGCGUAGAUAUUAGGAGGAACAUCAGUGGCGAAGGCGGCUUACUGGACUGAAACUGACACUGAGGCACGAAAGACGUGGGGAGGCAAAACA